AAUGGAUCUAUGAUGUUAUUAUAAACUGCGUUAUCUAUCUGAAACCUCACUAGAGGAUCUGAGGAAGAAGUAUUAUGCUGAGAUCCAAU
Vicia villosa (hairy vetch) is the source of this 89-nucleotide small nucleolar RNA. RefSeq annotates it as small nucleolar RNA snoR27. The record is from RefSeq and is a predicted model, not a curated record. The transcript has a single exon. Lineage: Eukaryota; Viridiplantae; Streptophyta; Magnoliopsida; Fabales; Fabaceae.